Molecule: non-coding RNA, 181 nt
Filed under: Pseudomonadota bacterium
Lineage: Bacteria; Pseudomonadati; Pseudomonadota
Also listed under: 2 other names
Description: 6S RNA
Rfam family: 6S / SsrS RNA
About the family: E. coli 6S RNA was the first non coding RNA to be sequenced, but its function was unknown until recently. It consists of 184 nucleotides that fold into an extended hairpin structure with a large single-stranded internal bulge.
Source: RNAcentral
ACCUGUCUGCCCGAAUCGCAUCGGUAAGGAGUGUUUUUUCCCUACAAGUCUUGAACCCGGGAUCCGCCUCUGGCCGUAGCGUGCAUGCCCGCAUGUCGGGAAGCCCAAUCCGGUUAAUUACUGUGGAGCCCACCUACUUUGGUAGGGGUUCAAACAUCCUAACCACGACCGGGCGGGGGUC